Molecule: ribosomal RNA, 440 nt
Filed under: uncultured bacterium
Lineage: Bacteria
Description: partial 16S ribosomal RNA
Rfam family: Bacterial small subunit ribosomal RNA
Source: RNAcentral
CCUACGGGAGGCAGCAGUAGGGAAUAUUGCUCAAUGGGGGAAACCCUGAAGCAGCAACGCCGCGUGGAGGAUGAAGGUUUUCGGAUUGUAAACUCCUUUUGUUAGAGAAGAUAAUGACGGUAUCUGACGAAUAAGCACCGGCUAACUCCGUGCCAGCAGCCGCGGUACUACGGCGGGUGCAAGCGUUACUCGGAAUCCCUGGGCGUAAAGAGCGCGUAGGCGGGAUAGCAAGUCAGAUGUGAAAUCCUAGGGCUUAACCAUAGAACUGCAUUUGAAACUGUUAUUCUAGAGUAUGGGAGAGGUAGGUGGAAUGAUUGGUGUAGGGGUAAAAUGCGUAGAGAUCAAGAGGAAUACUGAUUGCGAAGGCGACUUGCUAGAACAUAACUGACGCUGAUGCGCGAAAGCGUGGGGAGCAAACAGGAUUAGAUACCCUUGUAGUC